UGUUAUCCUUUACACAGAUAGCUCUUGGGAAGGUGCUGCGUCUAGUUGGUUAAAAGUAAUUCCAUGGGGCUUUUAUAAGCUGUUAAAAAAGAUAAGAGAAGACUACGACAAUCCCACAAUUUUCAUAACUGAAAACGGAUUCUCCACACGAGAAGGACUAGUAGAUGACGAUCGAGUAUCAUAUUAUAGGCAAUAUCUUGACGUGAUGUUAGACGCCAUCGAAGACGGCUCCGAUAUCAGAGUGUACACUGCAUGGAGUUUAAUGGAUAACUUUGAAUGGCUACAAGGAUACACGAAACGAUUUGGCUUGUAUGAAGUAGACUAUGAGAGCCCGGAGAGGACUCGCACUCCUCGCAAAGCUGCCUAUGUUUACAAAGAAAUCAUUCGUUCAAGAGAACUCGACUUUCACUAUGAACCCGAUAUGAGCUUGCCUCUGACUAUUGAUGAAUGACAUUAAACUUCGAAUAUUAAUGUUGAUUUUUUUUUAAAACGUUGCGUGUAUUUUCACAAAAACAAAGUUAUCAAAAAUAUAUAGGAAUACUCAAUAACUUACGCAG
Molecule: long non-coding RNA, 557 nt
Organism: Vanessa atalanta (red admiral)
Lineage: Eukaryota; Metazoa; Arthropoda; Insecta; Lepidoptera; Nymphalidae
Exons: 3
Source: RefSeq, a predicted model, not a curated record